Molecule: long non-coding RNA, 160 nt
Organism: Sinocyclocheilus rhinocerous
Lineage: Eukaryota; Metazoa; Chordata; Actinopteri; Cypriniformes; Cyprinidae
Exons: 3
Source: RefSeq, a predicted model, not a curated record
UUGAGAGAAUGUAAUGUAACUGCAUAUUAAACAUUGGCUGUGAUUGUGCUGUGCUGAAUUUUUGCUUUCAGUGUGGACGGACAAAUUCCAUGUUGCUGGUUAGGACAAGGUGUUAAGCCCAGAUUCAUUUCCUUUCACCCUGCUGGUGAUAAAAUAAGUU